Piliocolobus tephrosceles (Ugandan red Colobus) is the source of this 291-nucleotide long non-coding RNA. RefSeq lists it as uncharacterized. NCBI's taxonomy places the organism in Eukaryota, Metazoa, Chordata, Mammalia, Primates, Cercopithecidae. The transcript has 2 exons. The record is from RefSeq and is a predicted model, not a curated record.
AGUUUCACCAUGUUGGCCAGGCUGGUCUCGAACUCCUGACCUCAGGUGAUCUGCCCACCUCAGCCUCCCAAAGUGCUGGGAUUACAAGCGUGAGCCACCACACCCAGUCCCUACACCUGUCUUAAAUGACUCUAAGAAUGUUUAUUUACAGUCCUCAUUUUUUAGCAACUUUAGAAUUACUCAUUUUUACACAUGCACUGUUCAUUCAUGUAUACAACCACACAUAAUGAAAACUUAUUUUUUCCAGAGAUAGUGUUUUUCUAGGAUCUGGACAUUAGCUGAACUCUUUAU